CCUACGGGAGGCAGCAGUGGGGGAUAUUGCACAAUGGGGGAAACCCUGAUGCAGCGACGCCGCGUGGGUGAAGAAGCGCCUCGGCGCGUAAAGCCCUGUCUGCAGGGAAGAAAAUGACGGUACCUGAAGAUGAAGCUCCGGCUAACUACGUGCCAGCAGCCGCGGUAAUACGUAGGGGGCAAGCGUUAUCCGGAUUUACUGGGUGUAAAGGGGGCGCAGACGGGGUUGCAAGUCAGUAGUGAAAGCCCGGGGCCCAACCCCGGGACUGCUGUUGGAACUGUGAGGCUUGAGUGCAGUAGGGGCAGGCGGAAUUCCUGGUGUAGCGGUGAAAUGCGUAGAUAUCAGGAGGAACACCGAUGGCGAAGGCGGUCUACUGGACUGCAACUGACGUUGAGGCCCGAAAGCGUGGGGAGCAAACAGGAUUAGAUACCCUAGUAGUC
RNAcentral lists this ribosomal RNA (440 nucleotides) under uncultured bacterium. Its description in RNAcentral is "partial 16S ribosomal RNA". It matches the Rfam family "Bacterial small subunit ribosomal RNA", at positions 338 to 795 of the family's 1533-position model. The record is from RNAcentral.